Molecule: transfer RNA, 72 nt
Filed under: Botryobasidium botryosum FD-172 SS1
Lineage: Eukaryota; Fungi; Basidiomycota; Agaricomycetes; Cantharellales; Botryobasidiaceae
Description: tRNA-Arg (ACG) (tRNA-Arg-ACG-2-1)
Rfam family: tRNA
About the family: Transfer RNA (tRNA) molecules are approximately 80 nucleotides in length.
Source: RNAcentral
GGUCGCCUGGCGAAAUGGUAUCGCGUCUGACUACGAAUCAGGAGAUUGCAGGUUCGAGCCCUGCGGUGAUCA